Molecule: ribosomal RNA, 1351 nt
Filed under: Mycolicibacterium septicum
Lineage: Bacteria; Bacillati; Actinomycetota; Actinomycetes; Mycobacteriales; Mycobacteriaceae
Description: bacterial SSU rRNA
Rfam family: Bacterial small subunit ribosomal RNA
Source: RNAcentral
GGCCCUUCGGGGUACUCGAGUGGCGAACGGGUGAGUAACACGUGGGUGAUCUGCCCUGCACUUUGGGAUAAGCCUGGGAAACUGGGUCUAAUACCGAAUAUGACCGCGCACUUCCUGGUGUGUGGUGGAAAGCUUUUGCGGUGUGGGAUGGGCCCGCGGCCUAUCAGCUUGUUGGUGGGGUAAUGGCCUACCAAGGCGACGACGGGUAGCCGGCCUGAGAGGGUGACCGGCCACACUGGGACUGAGAUACGGCCCAGACUCCUACGGGAGGCAGCAGUGGGGAAUAUUGCACAAUGGGCGCAAGCCUGAUGCAGCGACGCCGCGUGAGGGAUGACGGCCUUCGGGUUGUAAACCUCUUUCAAUAGGGACGAAGCGCAAGUGACGGUACCUAUAGAAGAAGGACCGGCCAACUACGUGCCAGCAGCCGCGGUAAUACGUAGGGUCCGAGCGUUGUCCGGAAUUACUGGCGUAAAGAGCUCGUAGGUGGUUUGUCGCGUUGUUCGUGAAAACUCACAGCUUAACUGUGGGCGUGCGGGCGAUACGGGCAGACUAGAGUACUGCAGGGGAGACUGGAAUUCCUGGUGUAGCGGUGGAAUGCGCAGAUAUCAGGAGGAACACCGGUGGCGAAGGCGGGUCUCUGGGCAGUAACUGACGCUGAGGAGCGAAAGCGUGGGGAGCGAACAGGAUUAGAUACCCUGGUAGUCCACGCCGUAAACGGUGGGUACUAGGUGUGGGUUUCCUUCCUUGGGAUCCGUGCCGUAGCUAACGCAUUAAGUACCCCGCCUGGGGAGUACGGCCGCAAGGCUAAAACUCAAAGAAAUUGACGGGGGCCCGCACAAGCGGCGGAGCAUGUGGAUUAAUUCGAUGCAACGCGAAGAACCUUACCUGGGUUUGACAUGCACAGGACGCCGGCAGAGAUGUCGGUUCCCUUGUGGCCUGUGUGCAGGUGGUGCAUGGCUGUCGUCAGCUCGUGUCGUGAGAUGUUGGGUUAAGUCCCGCAACGAGCGCAACCCUUGUCUCAUGUUGCCAGCACGUAAUGGUGGGGACUCGUGAGAGACUGCCGGGGUCAACUCGGAGGAAGGUGGGGAUGACGUCAAGUCAUCAUGCCCCUUAUGUCCACGGCUUCACACAUGCUACAAUGGCCGGUACAAAGGGCUGCGAUGCCGUGAGGUGGAGCGAAUCCUUUCAAAGCCGGUCUCAGUUCGGAUCGGGGUCUGCAACUCGACCCCGUGAAGUCGGAGUCGCUAGUAAUCGCAGAUCAGCAACGCUGCGGUGAAUACGUUCCCGGGCCUUGUACACACCGCCCGUCACGUCAUGAAAGUCGGUAACACCCGAAGCCGGUGGCCUAACC